Long non-coding RNA from Oxyura jamaicensis (ruddy duck), 1959 nucleotides. RefSeq lists it as uncharacterized. Lineage: Eukaryota; Metazoa; Chordata; Aves; Anseriformes; Anatidae. The transcript has 3 exons. The record is from RefSeq and is a predicted model, not a curated record.
AUACAGUACAUAGCAAAAUAGGUAGCUAUUAGAUGGUUCUUUGGAUCAUACUGUGGGAACCUAUGGUGAUGCUAAACCAUCCACAUAAUUACAUUCCUUAUACUACAAAACUCUUGUCUGAAAGAAACUGACAGCGCAUUUCAUACACAUAAUACAUUAGAUAAAUGUAUACUGAAAGAUCCAGUCUUAGAGCAGUGCAGCUGGAGCAGAUCAAUCCAUCUGACAAGAGAACGGUUGUUGACACAUGGAGGUAUGCUUAUACAGCACACCUGCUUCCUCUCUUCUUCCCUAUAGCCCUGAGCCAAACACCAGGUCUUCACCUAGCCCUGUAACAGCUGAGUUAAAUUCUAGUAUGAUCCAUGAGCAGUGAUUCAGACAUCACAAGCUUGAAGCUGGAGGCCACCACUCACAGGUGAUUCCGUGCUGGAAGCCCACUUACCUACAGUUCUUCUUGGAAGUGAAAAAGGAAAAUGCUCUAAAGGGUUGUGGGAAAGGAAGAUAAGUUAAUCAGAAAGAUUUGAGGACAUCAUCAUUUCUCCUUCUUAACAUCCCUCAGGGGUGGGGAAACGGAAGAGUUGGCAAAGGAUGCUCUUUCAGGGCCCUAACCUCCAAUCCCAGACAUUCAUAUCAUACCAAAGUGCAAUAAGUGGGAUUUGCUGUAUUUGAGUCUAUCGAAAUGAAGUGUCUCACCUGUAACCCUUAUCUAGGCUCAGUAUAAAGGAACACAUUCAGAAGGCAUUCAUCCCAACUUCCUUAGAUUUUUCCUUAGAACAGGAUAGGUUAGGAUCUCCCUCAAAACUUAACUCUUCUUCCCUACUGAGGAAGCCUAAACCACUGAUUUAUUAGAUGAUGUAAAGCUGCUUGUGAUGAAUUCUGUAUGUCUGUUUUGUAAGUUCAUUUAGGCUCAAACUACUAUAUUCCAGGUAAAUGUUGUGGAAAGAAGAGAUAAUGUUCAUAACAGAAAUAUAUAUGAUCUUAUAAACAGUUUUUAGAGGCAACUGAAUAAUAAAGUUGGGCUAAGGCAUUUGAUGAUAGGAAAAGCAGCUCAUUCCAUUUAUUUCAGUUCUUUAAAUAUUAUUGUUAAACAAGAAAAUCAGAAUGUCAUGGCAUAACACAGACAAUGUGAAAUAACUAACUUUUGAUUACCACUUAUUUGUUUGAUUAUUCCUCUGUAAGAGUUUGAAAGGGUUUUAAGAAGCAAAUUUCUUGCUUCUAACUGUUCAGAGAUGUCACUGUGAAAACAGGCAGAGAUGAACUGGAUAGAACAAUAAUUCUCUCCAAUGCCACACAAAACAAAGCAGAACUUGAGAAUUUCUGUGUAUUUUAUUUGCCUUUUUAAACAUACAUUUGUGGACUCCUACCUUCCUAGUUUUGACUAAGUUCAGGAAAAAGGUCUGAAAACUCAAAUGAUAAGGAGGUCUUGCUUCCUUUUCUUCCUAUCUGGACACAAAGCAGCUGAUGUAUUUAUUAGGUAGUCACUGCCUAAACACUAUCUAUGCCAGUUUUGGAGGCCAAAGACAUUUCAGUAUGUUGAGGAGAAUUUGAAAUUAUGAACAUUUAUGUUCAGCCUGAGCCAGUGUAAACUCCUAACCUUUAGAGGCUUGUCACCUUGCCACCAGAACAUGAUCUGCAAUCUAGCCAUGUGGAUCCAGUUCCAGUGUAAGAAACACAGUGUAUUUGGCUGAAAUGUUUGCCCCAUGACACAAGUCAAUGAACCCACUGAUUAGGACACAGACAGAAGAGCUUCGGGAUUAGAAAUGGUCCUCAAAAAAAGGUCAAGAAGCAAAAAACAACUGGAUCCAAUUUUCAGAAAAGUUUGCCUCACAGAUAUGGUAAUAUGUCAUGACUACCUAUCCCUGAGAUAUACAGAUGUUAUUUCUGACUGCAGUAAUACUUUCUACUAUAGCUUAUUAUAUUUAAAUAUUUAGAAGUCCAGUUUUGUAUAGUAUGGUAUGGCAU